This 450-nucleotide ribosomal RNA is filed under the name uncultured Glomeromycotina. RNAcentral's name for it is "SSU rRNA". It matches the Rfam family "Eukaryotic small subunit ribosomal RNA", at positions 569 to 1023 of the family's 1831-position model. The record is from RNAcentral. Lineage: Eukaryota; Fungi; Glomeromycota.
AGCAGCCGCGGUAAUUCCAGCUCCAAUAGCGUAUAUUAAAGUUGUUGCAGUUAAAAAGCUCGUAGUUGAAUUUCGGGAUCAAUACGUCGGUCGUGCCUCUGGUAUGUACUGGUGUUAUUGAUUUCUCCCUUCUGAUGAAUCAUGAUGUCAUUAAUUUGGUGUUGUGUGGAGUCAGGACUGUUACUUUGAAAAAAUUAGAGUGUUUAAAGCAGGCUCACGCUUGAAUACAUUAGCAUGGAAUAAUGAAAUAGGACGUUCGAUCCUAUUUUGUUGGUUUCUAGGAUCAACGUAAUGAUUAAUAGGGAUAGUUGGGGGCAUUAGUAUUCAAUUGUCAGAGGUGAAAUUCUUGGAUUUAUUGAAGACUAACUACUGCGAAAGCAUUUGCCAAGGAUGUUUUCAUUAAUCAAGAACGAAAGUUAGGGGAUCGAAGACGAUCAGAUACCGUCGUAG